UUUUUAUUUUUUAUUUUUUUUUUUUUUUCGUUGCAAAGAUGGGUUAAAAGAGAAGGGCUUUCACAAAGCUUCCCGAGCGUGAAAGGAUUUGCCCGGACAGUUUGCUUCAUGGAGCAGUUUUUUCCGCACCAUCAGAGCGGCAAACAUGAG
RNAcentral lists this ribosomal RNA (150 nucleotides) under Saccharomyces cerevisiae YJM693. RNAcentral describes it as "NTS1-161". Lineage: Eukaryota; Fungi; Ascomycota; Saccharomycetes; Saccharomycetales; Saccharomycetaceae. The record is from RNAcentral.